GACGAACGCUGGCGGCGUGCUUAACACAUGCAAGUCGAACGGAAAGGCCCUGCUUUUGUGGGGUGCUCGAGUGGCGAACGGGUGAGUAACACGUGAGUAACCUGCCCUUGACUUUGGGAUAACUUCAGGAAACUGGGGCUCAUACCGGAUAGGAUCUCCUGCUGCAUGGGGGGGGUUGGAAAGUUUCGGCGGUUGGGGAUGGACUCGCGGCUUAUCAGCUUGUUGGUGGGGUAGUGGCUUACCAAGGCUUUGACGGGUAGCCGGCCUGAGAGGGUGACCGGCCACAUUGGGACUGCGAUACGGCCCAGACUCCUACGGGAGGCAGCAGUGGGGAAUAUUGCAGAAUGGGCGGAAGCCUGAUGCAGCAGCGCCGCGUGCGUGAUGACGGCCUUCGGGUUGUAAACCGCUUUCGCCUGUGCCGAAGCGUGAGUGACGGUAAUGGGUAAAGAAGCACCGGCUAACUACGUG
Molecule: ribosomal RNA, 468 nt
Filed under: uncultured bacterium
Lineage: Bacteria
Description: partial 16S ribosomal RNA
Rfam family: Bacterial small subunit ribosomal RNA
Source: RNAcentral